CUCUUAUCUGUUACUAUUUUGGUAACAGACUUGUUUUCAAAGGUUGAGUUACCCACUUACUUUAGAGAAAGAAGUAUAAUUGACUCUUAUUCUUAGUAUUAAAUAGUUCCAUUCUCUAAACUGAUACAAGUUCUGUAAUUUGCACUUUAAUUGAGCACCCACACUUUCUGAGAGUGCAAACUCAGCUCUCUACCGUAGAGGCUGAUCGCUAAUUUGGAGACAUUUGAGCAGUGAGGUCUCCCCUUCGUCUUCUCCAGGUGAGCUUUCCUCAUUGCAUUUAGUCUGAAACUUGAAGUCAGUCGUGAACCUUCCUCGUUGCUCUGAUGGAGUGUCAGCAACUUGAGGGCAUCUUCCCCAUUGCAGCCCCAGCCUGACACAGACCCAGCAUACCAAGUGAAGGAAGGAGUGAAAUGUACCAAAUGUUUUCCUAGCUUGCCCGGACCAGCCAUCCUGCUGCCUCUUCCCACACGCUGCUCUGUCAUGGCGCUCUCUCAGACCUGAAUGCAGAGAGAUUUCAAGCAUUAUUUUUGACUGCUCCUUAACCACUGAAUGUUCAGUUGGUGAAACUGAAGGCCUUUCACUCCGAAAAAAUAAAAAGAAGAACCUGAGCGUCAC
This 615-nucleotide long non-coding RNA is filed under the name Rhinolophus ferrumequinum (greater horseshoe bat). RNAcentral's name for it is "lncRNA (ENSRFEG00010002774.1)". The record is from RNAcentral. Lineage: Eukaryota; Metazoa; Chordata; Mammalia; Chiroptera; Rhinolophidae.